AGCGAACGCUGGCGGCAGGCCUAACACAUGCAAGUCGAACGGAUCCUUCGGGAUUAGUGGCGGACGAGUGAGUAACACGUGGGAACGUGCCCUUUGGUUCGGAACAACUCAGGGAAACUUGAGCUAAUACCGGAUGUGCCCUUCGGGGGAAAGAUUUAUCGCCAUUGGAGCGGCCCGCGUCUGAUUAGCUAGUUGGUGAGGUAACGGCCCACCAAGGCGACGAUCAGUAGCUGGUCUGAGAGGAUGAUCAGCCACACUGGGACUGAGACAUGGCCCAGACUCCUACGGGAGGCAGCAGUGGGGAAUCUUGCGCAAUGGGCGAAAGCCUGACGCAGCCAUGCCGCGUGAAUGAUGAAGGUCUUAGGAUUGUAAAAUUCUUUCAGCGGGGACGAUAAUGACGGUACCCGCAGAAGAAGCUCCGGCUAACUUCGUG
RNAcentral lists this ribosomal RNA (433 nucleotides) under uncultured bacterium. RNAcentral describes it as "partial 16S ribosomal RNA". It matches the Rfam family "Bacterial small subunit ribosomal RNA", at positions 29 to 507 of the family's 1533-position model. The record is from RNAcentral.